UCUUAUUAAGAGAGGGUGGAGGGAAAUGGCCCAGUGAAGCCUCGGCAACUUUCAAACUUUAAAAAUUUAAAAGUUUGAAAAAGUGCCAAAUCCAUCAGCUUUUUUAUAUUAU
RNAcentral lists this non-coding RNA (112 nucleotides) under chicken gut metagenome. Its description in RNAcentral is "SAM riboswitch (S box leader)". It matches the Rfam family "SAM riboswitch aptamer (S box leader)", at positions 2 to 93 of the family's 108-position model. Rfam says of the family: The SAM riboswitch is found upstream of a number of genes which code for proteins involved in methionine or cysteine biosynthesis in Gram-positive bacteria. The SAM riboswitch acts at the level of transcription termination control. The predicted structure consists of a complex stem-loop region followed by a single stem loop terminator region. The record is from RNAcentral.